Molecule: non-coding RNA, 111 nt
Filed under: human gut metagenome
Description: THF riboswitch
Rfam family: THF (Tetrahydrofolate) riboswitch aptamer
About the family: THF riboswitch presents a pseudoknot that joins P1-P2 and the loop of P3 and two THF binding.
Source: RNAcentral
GCAGAGUAGACGUGUGCGCGUCAAGUGCCUGUCAGACAGGGAGUUGCUGAUGGGACGAAAGGAUUCCUUCCGGAAAGGAUUUCCUGCGGUGCACAGGUCGCAUCCCGCUGC